GCGAAGGUGGCGGAAUUGGUAGACGCGCUAGCUUCAGGUGUUAGUGUUCUUACGGACGCGGGGGUUCAAGUCCCCCCCCUCGCACCA
Molecule: transfer RNA, 87 nt
Filed under: Escherichia coli
Lineage: Bacteria; Pseudomonadati; Pseudomonadota; Gammaproteobacteria; Enterobacterales; Enterobacteriaceae
Also listed under: 1 other name
Description: tRNA-Leu
Rfam family: tRNA
About the family: Transfer RNA (tRNA) molecules are approximately 80 nucleotides in length. Their secondary structure includes four short double-helical elements and three loops (D, anti-codon, and T loops). Further hydrogen bonds mediate the characteristic L-shaped molecular structure. tRNAs have two regions of fundamental functional importance: the anti-codon, which is responsible for specific mRNA codon recognition, and the 3' end, to which the tRNAs corresponding amino acid is attached (by aminoacyl-tRNA synthetases). tRNAs cope with the degeneracy of the genetic code in two manners: having more than one tRNA (with a specific anti-codon) for a particular amino acid; and 'wobble' base-pairing, i.e. permitting non-standard base-pairing at the 3rd anti-codon position.
Source: RNAcentral